Molecule: ribosomal RNA, 261 nt
Filed under: uncultured prokaryote
Description: partial 16S ribosomal RNA
Rfam family: Bacterial small subunit ribosomal RNA
Source: RNAcentral
UACGUAGGGUGCGAGCGUUAAUCGGAAUUACUGGGCGUAAAGCGUGCGCAGGCGGUUUGCUAAGACAGGUGUGAAAUCCCCGGGCUUAACCUGGGAACUGCGCUUGUGACUGGCAGGCUAGAGUACGGCAGAGGGGGGUGGAAUUCCUGGUGUAGCAGUGAAAUGCGUAGAUAUCAGGAGGAACACCGAUGGCAAAGGCAGCCCCCUGGGCCUGUACUGACGCUCAUGCACGAAAGCGUGGGGAGCAAACAGGAUUAGAUA